GCCCAGGUGAUGAAAUUGGUAGACAUGAGGGACUUAAAAUCCCUUGCCUAUUGUUGGCGUACGGGUUCGAUUCCCGUCCUGGGCA
This 85-nucleotide transfer RNA is filed under the name Flavobacteriales bacterium. RNAcentral's name for it is "tRNA-Leu". It matches the Rfam family "tRNA". From Rfam's summary of the family: Transfer RNA (tRNA) molecules are approximately 80 nucleotides in length. Their secondary structure includes four short double-helical elements and three loops (D, anti-codon, and T loops). Lineage: Bacteria; Pseudomonadati; Bacteroidota; Flavobacteriia; Flavobacteriales. The record is from RNAcentral. RNAcentral also lists the same sequence under 2 other names.